CCUACGGGAGGCAGCAGUAGGGAAUAUUGCACAAUGGGGGAAACCCUGAUGCAGCGACGCCGCGUGGAUGAAGAAGGCUUUCGGAUUGUAAACUUCUUUCGGUAGAGAAGAAUAUGACGGUAUCUAACGAAUAAGCACCGGCUAACUCCGUGCCAGCAGCCGCGGUAAUACGGAGGGUGCAAGCGUUAAUCGGAAUCACUGGGUGUAAAGGGAGCGUAGGCGGGGGCAUAAGUCAGGUGUGAAAUCCCGGGGCUUAACCACGGAACUGCAUUUGAAACUGUGUCUCUGGAGUGCUGGAGAGGUAAGUGGAAUUCUUAGUGUAGGGGUGAAAUGCGUAGAGAUGAGGAGGAAUACUCAUGGCGAAGGCGGCCUACUGGAACGUUACUGACGCUGAUGCACGAAAGCGUGGGGAGCAAACAGGAUUAGAUACCCGAGUAGUC
RNAcentral lists this ribosomal RNA (440 nucleotides) under uncultured bacterium. Its description in RNAcentral is "partial 16S ribosomal RNA". It matches the Rfam family "Bacterial small subunit ribosomal RNA", at positions 338 to 795 of the family's 1533-position model. The record is from RNAcentral.